Molecule: long non-coding RNA, 1463 nt
Organism: Hyla sarda
Lineage: Eukaryota; Metazoa; Chordata; Amphibia; Anura; Hylidae
Exons: 3
Source: RefSeq, a predicted model, not a curated record
CAGCAGGCACUUGUGUCAGCCUGAACCUGUUACAGACAAUGGAUUAUUCCAUAGGAAGCAGGGCACUCUAAUUGCUACUCCAGGGAUUUGGAGGAGGGGAGCAGGGACAGGAUGAUGUGUCCCUUUUCUCUCAGGUUUCGUUAAAGCAGGCAUUGCCGGAAGUGAUGUAAUUCAGUGACUUCCUCCGAGAUUCACCGAGUGGACAGCGCUGAGCGAGCGUGGAUCUUCAGGACCAUGGCUGGUUACAGCCGCAUGAGCAUUAACGUUUCUCAACUCUUUUCUUUUCAUUGUCCUAGUGGCAACAUUACAACUCCUCGUACGUUGGAACCAGACUAUGACAGCCAACAAUCGUCAGGGUCCACACAAGAGUAAAAAAUAAGUCAAGAAGAUGUUGCAGGACCAUCUGAUCAAAAUGCCGACUAGGCAAGUAGAUGAGCGGCAAAUGAUGGAUACAAUUCUAACGCUGGUAGCAGCCACAGAGGUGGCCGGUCAGGCGGUCGUUGUAGGGGACGAGCAAUCACAGUAGAAAGUGAGGCAAUAGCAGUGCUUCAAAGGGUAGAUGCGGAGGACCAUUGGGACCAUAUCACAUAUACAAUGGCUGAAAGGCUGCGCAAACUCCCAGAAGGAAGACAAUGGUCAUGUGUUCCUGCAGUUUUUUUAAAUGAUGGCUUUAAAUGCCUCUCCUGAUCCUAUUCCAGAAAAUGCAGAGGUUAUUACUACUAUAGGCAACUUACUUAAAAAGUAUUGCCUUGAUAACCAGGUCAGCAGACCCCCGACAAACAACCCUUUAGAUAACUCAGGACAGACUGACACUGCAACCCCUAUGCCCAGAUUUACAAACACCUAUGAGGAAAUGUAUCAACAACAGUACAAUGCACAUUCUAGGUCAAAUCCUUCUUCAUAUCUAACCUUACUUCAUGGUCCAUGUGAUGAAGAAGAAUCUCAGGGUACUGUUCAAAGGGUCAAUUGAGUGAUUUCCCACCAUCACCAUCUGAGCUAACAUCUGGCCAAGAGCAAACACAUUAUCAGCCGCUGUAAUGACUUGUAUGAGGUUUGUUUAGUGAUUUGUUUUACGUUUUCUAAACACUUUUCAAAAAAAAUUAAGUUGGUCACAGUCUGUGGAAAAUGGUCAUCUGCAAUCUAAAUGAUACAAUUUGGCUGCCUUUAUAAGCCAAUAUUAUUGGACUACUUUUCAUUCUGUUAGGCCAAAAUGUUUGGUAAAUUUUUUGAAGGGCAAACAAAAUAUGUAAUGUAAGGAUGUAUCUAUUUUUUUUCAUGUGUAGCUGUUGACAUUUUUCAACAUUUUGCCAUUGACAUGGGCCAUGACAUACCUUUUAUGUGAUUAUUGUUGUGUUGAUUUAUUCAUGAAAAUACCUCCUUUCUCCUAGAAGUAAUCUUAUGUGCAUUAUGACACUUACAAAUACACUGCUUACACAAUUCACAUCUUUUCCUUAAAGGGGUAU